This 434-nucleotide ribosomal RNA is filed under the name Indosylvirana aurantiaca (small wood frog). RNAcentral's name for it is "partial 12S rRNA". The record is from RNAcentral. Lineage: Eukaryota; Metazoa; Chordata; Amphibia; Anura; Ranidae.
UAAAAAGUUGUAAGAGUACAAAGGCUUGGUCCUGGCCUUAUUAUUAACUGUUUCUUAACUUACACAUGCAAGUCUCAGCGCUCCAGUGAGGACAUCCUUUAGACCUCUUUCAGGUUAAAGGGUUGGCAUCAGGCACAACCACUUGCCCAUGACGCCUAGUUUCACCACACCCCCAAGGGCCUACAGCAGUGAUAAAUAUUAACUAUAAGCGACAGCUUGACUUAGUUAAAGAAUAGAGGGCCGGCCAAAUGGGUGCCAGCCGCCGCGGCUACACCUGGGGCCCAAGUUAAUAAUCAUCGGCGUUAAGCGUGAAUAAACUUGCAGAUUAGAGUUCAAUUAGCACCUUAUGAUGUUAAAAGUCUGAUGUUAAGAAAACCAAAAACGAAAGUUACUCUAACUAAAUACUUUACACGACAGCUAGGGCACAAACUGGG